RNAcentral lists this transfer-messenger RNA (345 nucleotides) under Erythrobacter sp. 3-20A1M. It matches the Rfam family "Alphaproteobacteria transfer-messenger RNA". From Rfam's summary of the family: Bacterial tmRNA, also known as 10Sa RNA or SsrA, is named for its dual tRNA and mRNA-like properties. Its role is to liberate the mRNA from a stalled ribosome. To accomplish this part of the tmRNA is used as a reading frame that ends in a translation stop signal. Lineage: Bacteria; Pseudomonadati; Pseudomonadota; Alphaproteobacteria; Sphingomonadales; Erythrobacteraceae. The record is from RNAcentral.
CCACUUCACAUUAAGGGGCGCAUCGCUAUAUGGGGUUUGCCGGUUUCGACCGGCUAUGGCGAUAAAGUGCGGCGUGCAAUAGACACAACGGACCCGGGGGCAGUACCCGGCGGCUCCACCAAAAAUCGCGGGAAACCGCGCUUUCUGACGGGGCCGAACCAGGAUCGACGUGUGUUGAAAGACGCAGUUUUCGCUCGGGCUGAGUAUCCCGUAAAAAUGUUCACAACACACAAGUGCCAACGACAACGAAGCACUCGCACUCGCUGCGUAAUUUGAUGGCCUAACGGCCUGAAUUUACAAAGCUAAAGCGCGGUUGGGCCCACCGGGCAACAGAAGCGGAUUCCG